CAAUUGGCCCUUUUCAGGGCCAACAAGUGUGUACUGAACAGUUAUU
Non-coding RNA from Aedes aegypti (yellow fever mosquito), 46 nucleotides. Lineage: Eukaryota; Metazoa; Arthropoda; Insecta; Diptera; Culicidae. The record is from Rfam.